UGCAUUUUUUCGGUUUUUGCGGGAAAAUGUGUGUUUUCCAGUUUUGGUGGAAAAAUGUAUUUUGCAAUUUUUGGCGACAAAGUGUGUUUUUACUGUGUUGGCGGGAAAGUAUGAUUUUCGGUUUUAGUGCGGUUCAAGAUUUUGGCGGGAAAGUGUAUUUUUACCGUUUUAGCCGAAAAGUGUGGGUUACUAGUUUGGCCGAAAUGUAUGUUUUAUGGAAAUGUGCAUUUUUACGCUUUUUGGGGAAAAACGUAUUUUUGUGGUUUUGGCGAAAAGUGUGUCAGUUUUGGCGAGAAAAUGCAUUUUUCGGUUUUGACGGAAAAAUGUAUAUGGGAAAAUAUAGGAUUUUUGGUUCGAAAAUAAUAUUUUAAUUUUAAGAAGUUAUUUUGCCAUUUAUCAUUUUAUACUUAACUAGAUGCACUUGCAUGCAGAUGCACCAUCAAAAUUCAUCCUCAUUUGGGUGAAAAAUUGAAAUGAGUUUUUAAAAUUCAGCUGGAUGAGCAAAAGAACAGCACCUUAUUGGAAAUGGUCAUAACAAUUUCUUAAGAUUAAGAAGGUAGUGGUGGAUAUGUGGCUAGGAUAGAUCAGAUAAACACAUGUGGGCAAGAGAACUGAUUGAAACUCGCGCAAAUCAAGUCCAUGUGGUUGUUGUUUGGACACGGGGAAUGUCAUUCUUCUUGUUCUUUUAUUUUUUCUAAGAUGAGAGUGUCAUUAUUCUUGUGACAUGCUAACAUGUACUGUUGGCAGAAAAGUACAAGAGUUGAGAAGUAUAAUAUUUCGAUUAAUUAAACCGAAUUAACUAGUACUGGAAACCAAAGAGAAUAUUGGGCUUAGGAUUGGAUCGGCAGAUCGGAUUGUCGUAGAAUUUAUAAGUGCAUGCGUUUGCGUUUGGGUUUGUACAAAGAUAUUUGUCGAUAUAAUCACCCGCGUGAAUAUAAAGAGAGUUGUAUCAGUAUUUAGUUGCUUAAUGUUUGAAUCCUCAGUGUAAAUUUAUCUUAUCUAUUUGCAUCUUACAGAAGCAACACAUUAUACUCUAAAACUAUUAUGCUCUCCCCAGGCCCGAUCUUAUGUAUUUGGAUUCCUAAAGGACGAAAUUUGUUUUUACCCAUAAAUCAUUACACCAAAAAAUUUGAUGCCCUACAAUUUUUCUAUAAUUUUUUUUACAAAUUUUAGCACCUAAAAUGGGUGCUCGUGAGCUUUAACUCCUAUCUGUCCCUCUGGUAUUUGAUCGGUGCAGGGACAUCUGUAUGUCGCAGAGUCGUUUGUGCAAUAUUCUGUGAAUCGUGGGAAGGUGAUAAUACUUAUGGUAGAAGCCACUAAGAGCAUUAAUAUCGCAGGCGCUUAAUAGGGUUGCUAAGAUAAUUAUGAUUUAAAAGAAAAUAAAAAUUACCUAUUAAUGCAAGAGGCGCUGCUUAAUUAAGCAUUACAAGAGUCGCUGCUUAUGGGACACACGUCGACAAAGUAUUUCUCUCUCUCAUCUCUCUUUCUCUCCUCAAAGGAGGAACCGAACCUCUUCUUGAUCAAGCUGUUGAUCCACCACCACUGGAGAAGGAGGAGGAUAACGAUCCGGCUCCGGCUCUUUGACCUUGGGGAUGUGAUCCAGUGCAGAGAGUGUGGCUACCGUUAUUGUUGAUGGUACUAAGAGCUUUUGCUAUUAUUGGUCUUGUUCAAGCUCAGGAUCAAGAAGGUAUCCACUUCUUAUGUUAAUGUUUUGUGUCUUGAAAUACUUCUACUCUUUAUGAUUCAUGUCUCUUGUCAUGACUACGAUGCUAUUACUUGUGUUCUUGUGAACUUUUGUAGAGUGUGUUUGAAAUAUUUUGUGUCUCAA
This is a long non-coding RNA of Brassica napus (rape), 1828 nucleotides long. RefSeq lists it as uncharacterized. Lineage: Eukaryota; Viridiplantae; Streptophyta; Magnoliopsida; Brassicales; Brassicaceae. The record is from RefSeq and is a predicted model, not a curated record. The transcript has 2 exons.